Molecule: ribosomal RNA, 512 nt
Filed under: uncultured bacterium
Lineage: Bacteria
Description: bacterial SSU rRNA
Rfam family: Bacterial small subunit ribosomal RNA
Source: RNAcentral
AGCAGAGAUGCUUUAGUGCCUUCGGGAACUCUGAGACAGGUGCUGCAUGGCUGUCGUCAGCUCGUGUUGUGAAAUGUUGGGUUAAGUCCCGCAACGAGCGCAACCCUUUAUCCUUUGUUGCCAGCACGUAAUGGUGGGAACUCAAAGGAGACUGCCGGUGAUAAACCGGAGGAAGGUGGGGAUGACGUCAAGUCAUCAUGGCCCUUACGAGUAGGGCUACACACGUGCUACAAUGGCGCAUACAAAGAGAAGCGACCUCGCGAGAGCAAGCGGACCUCAUAAAGUGCGUCGUAGUCCGGAUUGGAGUCUGCAACUCGACUCCAUGAAGUCGGAAUCGCUAGUAAUCGUAAAUCAGAAUGUUACAGUGAAUACGUUCCCGGGCCUUGUACACACCGCCCGUCACACCAUGGGAGUGGGUUGCAAAAGAAGUAGAUAGCUUAACCUUCGGGAGGGCGUUUACCACUUUGUGAUUCAUGACUGGGGUGAAGUCGUAACAAGGUAGGCGUAGUGCU